AUGUUGGCGUAGUCGAGUGGUUACUUCGUUUGUAUAAUGUAACUAUGACAUUUGUUAACUGGCGGGUUUGAACCCCGUAGAACCACUGACGCUUUCCCACAUUGAA
RNAcentral lists this vault RNA (106 nucleotides) under Mytilus galloprovincialis (Mediterranean mussel). It matches the Rfam family "Vault RNA". Rfam says of the family: This family of RNAs are found as part of the enigmatic vault ribonucleoprotein complex. The complex consists of a major vault protein (MVP), two minor vault proteins (VPARP and TEP1), and several small untranslated RNA molecules. The record is from Rfam by way of RNAcentral. Lineage: Eukaryota; Metazoa; Mollusca; Bivalvia; Mytilida; Mytilidae.